GAAUUUAGGUUGCUCUUUUGUGUACCCUACUUAGGUAAAUGUAUCUAAACAGUGUGAUUGGACAAAAAAUACAGUAUCAACUGAACAUACUUUCCCAAACUGAGGGAUGAAUCAGGUGUAGAAAAAUAUGAAAUAAUUUUACAUACAGAUGAAAAUGAAUUUUUGAGAAUUUUUUUAAAUGUUGUAUUCACUGCACCAUAAAAGACCUAAAAGUACUAGUGGCCUUAGGUUUUUAAAAAUAGCAAAAAAAGUAAACGGUCAUGAUACAUAUUCAAAUUCAUUUCUGAAUAGUAAAAUGAAAGUACUUCAGUUAACUGUGAAUGUAGAAUUUUUUGCAGUGUUAGAAAGUGGUGAAAAUUCUAAAAAGGCUAUCAUUAUCCCUUAU
RNAcentral lists this long non-coding RNA (385 nucleotides) under Mytilus galloprovincialis (Mediterranean mussel). The record is from RNAcentral. Lineage: Eukaryota; Metazoa; Mollusca; Bivalvia; Mytilida; Mytilidae.